This 441-nucleotide ribosomal RNA is filed under the name uncultured Oomycota. RNAcentral's name for it is "LSU rRNA". It matches the Rfam family "Eukaryotic large subunit ribosomal RNA", at positions 165 to 609 of the family's 3401-position model. Lineage: Eukaryota; Oomycota. The record is from RNAcentral.
AGCAUAGCGAUUUGGGAUAAGUCCCUUGGAAAAGGGCAGCAUGGAGGGUGAUACUCCCGUCUCUGCUCAGAUUGUCUGUGUGUACGAUACGCUUUCUUUGAGUCGAGUUGUUUGGGAAUACAGCUCAUAGUAGGUGGUAAAUUCCAUCUAAAGCUAAAUAUUGGUGCGAGACCGAUAGCGAACAAGUACCGUGAGGGAAAGAUGAAAAGAACUUUGAAAAGAGAGUUAAAGAGUACCUGAAACUGUUGAAAGGGAACCGUAUCGUUUCCAGUGUUGUAUCCUGUGCAUAUUUCAUUAGCGGAGUAAUUUGCUGGUGCCCUGUGCAUGGGUGUGACGUCAGAGUCAGUUUGUAUGCUGCGGGAGAUGGACAGUAAGGAGGUGCGUCACUUCGGUGAAAGUUAUACCUUGCUGUCUAGUAGCCGUGGUUGAGACUGAGGUGCC